Molecule: ribosomal RNA, 468 nt
Filed under: uncultured bacterium
Lineage: Bacteria
Description: partial 16S ribosomal RNA
Rfam family: Bacterial small subunit ribosomal RNA
Source: RNAcentral
GACGAACGCUGGCGGCGUGCUUAACACAUGCAAGUCGAACGGAAAGGCCCUGCUUUUGUGGGGUGCUCGAGUGGCGAACGGGUGAGUAACACGUGAGUAACCUGCCCUUGACUUUGGGAUAACUUCAGGAAACUGGGGCUAAUACCGGAUAGGAGCUCCUGCUGCAUGGUGGGGGUUGGAACGUUUCGGCGGUUGGGGAUGGACUCGCGGCUUAUCAGCUUGUUGGUGGGGUAGUGGCUUACCAAGGCUUUGACGGGUAGCCGGCCUGAGAGGGUGACCGGCCACAUUGGGACUGAGAUACGGCCCAGACUCCUACGGGAGGCAGCAGUGGGGAAUAUUGCACAAUGGGCGGAAGCCUGAUGCAGCAACGCCGCGUGCGGGAUGACGGCCUUCGGGUUGUAAACCGAUUUCGCCUGUGACGAAGCGUGAGUGACGGUAAUGGGUAAAGAAGCACCGGCUAACUACGUG